Wyeomyia smithii (pitcher-plant mosquito) is the source of this 1663-nucleotide long non-coding RNA. RefSeq lists it as uncharacterized. The record is from RefSeq and is a predicted model, not a curated record. The transcript has 5 exons. Lineage: Eukaryota; Metazoa; Arthropoda; Insecta; Diptera; Culicidae.
AUUGUGCUGUCGUUAAAGAACCGUUCUCAGUAUAGGUAGAUAAAUACUCAUUCGCUCCCACCAACGGUGUUGCAGUUCAAUGGUCACACUUUCGCUGGAUGUAUUACUGGCGGGGCAGUACCAUAUAGUAAAGCAAACAGAUAGGGUGUAAAUUGUGAUGAAAACAUGUGAAAUUGUACUUGGCCACGUAAGAGAAGGAGUUGUUUUUUUAAAGAUAGUAUACGCAUUUUAUAAAAAGAAGCUGGUGAAUAAAGAUAAAGAUUGACAGUAUUAAAAGGAAACGGGAGUAUUUUUGAAUGAGCAUAGAAAAGGCGUGGUGUAGCUAGAUGCAAAUUGAAAGAUUGUUUUAUUUUUACAAGACUUUUUUAGUCAAUGGAGUUUUGUUAGAAAGUUUUGCGGAGCUUUUGUGACUAUAUUGAUUUGAACAUUGAAAACACAAAAAAAUACGUGCCGAUCUCUGAAUUUUAUGCGGAAUGGCUGGUAUGCCCAGUUUAAUGGAUGCUGUAAAGUGAACAUCUAAGCUAAAAAACUUCUAGUAGCAAUGAAGAAUCGAAUGAAGACACUACGUGAUAGUAUACCAUUUAUAGCUUGUAUUUAUAUGGAUCUCCGAUUUAUUUUUUUAGAUCAAACAGACUGAGUAAUACUGAAAAACCAGAAGAAGCAUUGACUGAUAUAAGAACAUGUCGCAGUGAUAAAAUGAUAAGAGAUAUUAUGCCUAAUAUGAAUUCGUCGUUGUGGCUACAAGUAACGGCCAUUAUCGGAACUAAAACGCACCAGUUAAGCAUUCACGCAAUUUACAGCGCUUCUUAUCAUUUUAAGCGACAUUGAACAUGUAGAAUAAUUGUAGGCUCUAUAUCAUCACGCGAAAUGAGAACCGCUUGAAGUCUCGGUAGUAAAAUCAAAGCAAUGGAACAUACACUAAAUAGUCAAGCAAUCUUCUGCAGCGCUUCAAAGUGGGGUAGAACAAUUUUAGUUUUAACAUUUUAGGUAAACGUUGAUGAAGAUCAGUUAUUUACACAAGCUUAUAGAUAAAAUCAUGAACAUGUUGGAUAGAAGAGAACUUUAGGAAAGUUGGGUUUAUAUGUGAAAAACAAAGAAAUUCAUCAUUUAAAGUCACACGUCUGUGUGUCAUCGACAACUUCUUUAAAAUGGGCAAUAAAUAAUAACGCAUGUGAAUUUUAUUGCACUGAGCAACAUAUUGAUCAUAGCUGAAAAAUAUCUCGAUUAACCACAAGAUAUCCCUUAUAUACGUUUUCCUGAAAUCCAUCCACGCCCCAGUUUAGUCCUAUCCCCUUCCGCCUACAUCCAACCAAACGACAAGAACACGUUAAGACCCCGGAUCCGGAAACAGCAAUCAGACCCGCACGAAACUCUCAAGGCCCGAUGGAAACAACCCAAUAUGCCAAUCCGUAAUAUCUUGGCCCAGCAGCGGAACAAAUUUAAUAUACUGCUUACCUAUGGCAACGAAAACCAUCAAACAGCAAACCUGUGCUUUUAAUGCAAAAUAUUCUAGCUUAAAGUUAGAUUUAGUUUCGGCUCGUAGUCGGCAGCGAGGAUAAAAAAUUUGCUUUUAGUUAUUAAGAUACUUUAGAAAGUAAGCUUCCAGAUAUAAUUGGCGCCGUUAAACAUUGAAUUGUAUUUGUGCCGUGUCAAAUAAACUAUA